UACGGGGGGAGCAAGCGUUGUUCGGAUUUACUGGGCGUAAAGGGCGCGUAGGCGGCCACCGCAAGUCGGUUGUGAAAUCUCUGGGCUUAACCCAGAAAGGUCAACCGAUACUGCGGGGCUAGAGUGCAGAAGGGGCAACUGGAAUUCUCGGUGUAGCGGUGAAAUGCGUAGAUAUCGAGAGGAACACCUGCGGCGAAAGCGAGUCUCUGGACGGCCUCUGUCACUGAAGCACGAAAGCUAGGGGAGCAAACAGG
RNAcentral lists this ribosomal RNA (254 nucleotides) under uncultured bacterium. RNAcentral's name for it is "partial 16S ribosomal RNA". It matches the Rfam family "Bacterial small subunit ribosomal RNA", at positions 524 to 776 of the family's 1533-position model. The record is from RNAcentral.